CGCGGCCUAUCAGCUUGUUGGUGAGGUAACGGCUCACCAAGGCGACGACGGGUAGCUGGUCUGAGAGGACGACCAGCCACACUGGGACUGAGAUACGGCCCAGACUCCUACGGGAGGCAGCAGUGGGGAAUCUUGCGCAAUGGGCGAAAGCCUGACGCAGCGACACCGCGUGGGGGAUGAAGGCCCUCGGGUUGUAAACCCCUUUCGGCAGGGACGAAGCGGAAGUGACGGUACCUGCAGAAGAAGCCCCGGCUAACUACGUGCCAGCAGCCGCGGUAAGACGUAGGGGGCGAGCGUUGUCCGGAAUCAUUGGGCGUAAAGCGCGCGCAGGCGGCCGUGCAAGUCGGUUGUGAAAUCCCGGGGCUCAACCCCGGGACUGCGUCCGAUACUGCACGGCUAGAGGCAGGUAGGGGAGAUCGGAAUUCCUGGUGUAGCGGUGAAAUGCGCGGAUGUCAGGAGGAACACCGGUGGCGAAGGCGGAUCUCUGGGCCUGUUCUGACGCUCAGGCGCGAAAGCUAGGGGAGCGAACAGGAUUAGAUACCCUGGUAGUCCUAGCCGUAAACGUUGGGCGCUAGGUGUGGGUGGACAUCGACCCCAUCCGUGCCGAAGCUAACGCAUUAAGCGCCCCGCCUGGGGAGUACGGA
RNAcentral lists this ribosomal RNA (644 nucleotides) under uncultured Actinomycetes bacterium. RNAcentral describes it as "bacterial SSU rRNA". It matches the Rfam family "Bacterial small subunit ribosomal RNA", at positions 232 to 886 of the family's 1533-position model. Lineage: Bacteria; Bacillati; Actinomycetota; Actinomycetes. The record is from RNAcentral.